Molecule: ribosomal RNA, 461 nt
Filed under: uncultured bacterium
Lineage: Bacteria
Description: partial 16S ribosomal RNA
Rfam family: Bacterial small subunit ribosomal RNA
Source: RNAcentral
GCUGGCGGCGUGCUUAACACAUGCAAGUCGAGCGGAAAGGCCCUGCUUUUGUGGGGUGCUCGAGUGGCGAACGGGUGAGUAACACGUGAGUAACCUGCCCUUGACUUUGGGAUAACUUCAGGAAACUGGGGCUAAUACCGGAUAGGAGCUCCUGCUGCAUGGUGGGGGUUGGAAAGUUUCGGCGGUUGGGGAUGGACUCGCGGCUUAUCAGCUUGUUGGUGGGGUAGUGGCUUACCAAGGCUUUGACGGGUAGCCGGCCUGAGAGGGUGACCGGCCACAUUGGGACUGAGAUACGGCCCAGACUCCUACGGGAGGCAGCAGUGGGGAAUAUUGCACAAUGGGCGGAAGCCUGAUGCAGCAACGCCGCGUGCGGGAUGACGGCCUUCGGGUUGUAAACCGCUUUCGCCUGUGACGAAGCGUGAGUGACGGUAAUGGGUAAAGAAGCACCGGCUAACUACGUG